Molecule: ribosomal RNA, 550 nt
Filed under: Stenopodessa sp. CW-2009
Lineage: Eukaryota; Metazoa; Arthropoda; Insecta; Hemiptera; Reduviidae
Description: partial 16S ribosomal RNA
Rfam family: Bacterial large subunit ribosomal RNA
Source: RNAcentral
CGCCUGUUUAUCAAAAACAUGUCCUUUUGUUUAUUUAUUUAAGGUCUGACCUGCCCAAUGAUUUAUUUAAUGGCCGCGGUAUUUUAACCGUGCUAAGGUAGCAUAAUCAUUUGUCUUUUAAUUAAGGGCUAGAAUGAAAGGUUGGACGAGAUAUUAACUUUCUUUGGUUUAAUUUUUGAAUUUAAUUUUUAGGUUAAAAAGCUUAAAUUUAUUUGUUGGACGAGAAGACCCUAUAGAUCUUGACAUUUAAUUUAAUUGUGGUUUUUAGUGAUUAAUAUAUUGUUAUUAAUAAGGUGUUUGAUUGGGGUGAUUGUAGAAUUAUAAUAACUUCUAUUUAUAUUUUUCGUAGAUUAUUGUUUUAUUGAUCCAUUUAUAGUGAUUAUAAGAUUAAGUUACCUUAGGGAUAACAGCGUAAUUUUUUCGGAGAGUUCAUAUCGAUGAAUAAGUUUGCGACCUCGAUGUUGGAUUAAAAUUAGUUCUGGGUGUAGAAGUUCAUGAACUAGGUCUGUUCGACCUUUUAAAUUUUACAUGAUCUGAGUUCAAACCGGAG